GAUGAACGCUGGCGGCGUGCCUAAUACAUGCAAGUCGAGCGAACGGACGAGAAGCUUGCUUCUCUGAUGUUAGCGGCGGACGGGUGAGUAACACGUGGAUAACCUACCUAUAAGACUGGGAUAACUUCGGGAAACCGUAGCUAAUACCGGAUAAUAUUUUGAACCGCAUGGUUCAAAAGUGAAAGACGGUCUUGCUGUCACUUAUAGAUGGAUCCGCGUUGCAUUAGCUAGUUGGUAAGGUAACGGCUUACCAAGGCAACGAUGCAUAGCCGACCUGAGAGGGUGAUCGGCCACACUGGAACUGAGACACGGUCCAGAGUCCUACGGGAGGCAGCAGUAGGGAAUCUUCCGCAAUGGGCGAAAGCCUGACGGAGCAACGCCGCGUCAGUGAUGAAGGUCUUCGGAUCGUAAAACUCUGUUAUUAGGGAAGAACAUAUGUGUAAGUAGCUGUGCACAUCUUGACGGUACCUAAUCAGAAAGCCACGGCUAACUACGUG
RNAcentral lists this ribosomal RNA (497 nucleotides) under uncultured bacterium. RNAcentral describes it as "partial 16S ribosomal RNA". It matches the Rfam family "Bacterial small subunit ribosomal RNA", at positions 28 to 507 of the family's 1533-position model. The record is from RNAcentral.